UUUUCGAUACUGUGUAUUUGGAACUUUUCUUAGUAAAGAAAUGGCUAAUUGAACCGAGAAAAUUCUUCUCGUAACUUUCAUGCAUCCGUGCACAUUUUAGUAUUUUGAGACUUGGAAUAGUACAUUUAUUAUUAUCUAGGCCUAGGAUAUAGUAUAAAUUAGUCUAUGUCAACUGACAACCCACUUAGGACUUAUUAUUAGUGUGAAUAACUUUGUUAUUGUUGAUGUUAUCUUUUACUUUGGCCUUGUUGUGAACCGAACAUGUUGCAACUACAAAUUCUGCUCACCUGGUCACAAAGGUUCAUUUAGG
Molecule: long non-coding RNA, 310 nt
Filed under: Mytilus galloprovincialis (Mediterranean mussel)
Lineage: Eukaryota; Metazoa; Mollusca; Bivalvia; Mytilida; Mytilidae
Source: RNAcentral